AUGAUGCCCUACAACAAGGCCAUGUCCUCCGUCAUCCCUCAAAGACCGGACUUCCACUCCAUGACCUCAAGUGAAGUGUUGGAUGAGUUCGUUGGAAUGAGCAUCUUGGGCAAGACCGCCGACAAGGCGAUGCUCCGUUCUCAAAGAACAAAGAAGUCCAAUCUUGCCUUGAAGGCCAAGGUCAUUGUGGAAGAAGAGGAAGAAGAGGAAGAUGAGGAGGGCAAUCCCGAGGAUACAAAAUAUGAUUAUAUGAGCACAUGGCUCUUGCUUCAAGGCAAUUUUGGAGCAAGAAGAACACAAGGCCCAAUUUCAACAAGAACAAUUAAAGUGGGUUCAAGGGCAAGCAACGAGUGA
RNAcentral lists this ribosomal RNA (354 nucleotides) under Triticum aestivum (bread wheat). Its description in RNAcentral is "partial small subunit ribosomal RNA". Lineage: Eukaryota; Viridiplantae; Streptophyta; Magnoliopsida; Poales; Poaceae. The record is from RNAcentral.